UGAACAUCUUUAAAGAACUUUAUCCUAUUCAACUUAUAUAUUCUCACUUAGGCUUUACAAAUGGCCCAGCUCCAGUUUUUAUAGUUAAGGAAACUAUAACUGAGAGAUAUUGAAGUUAGUUCCCUAAAGUCACAUGACAGGGGACGUGGGACAGAGCCAGGGCAAAGCCCAGGGCUUCUACUUUUAAAUCUUGUGCUUUUUUUUCGAUCUCGUGUAUCUUACUGUGGGCUCUCCCCAAGUGGACGUUCAGACAGGGAUUGGAGUACAGUGGGUGUAUUGGGGAAGUUUGGGGGCCAGUAGUGGGGGACUGAGAAAGUGGCCCAGCAGGGACAAGAGCAGCCCACAGGGAGUGCAUUUGGAGCCAGUGACCACUUCGGGCAACUGGAGCUUAAUGCCACAGGAAAAAAUCUGAGAAACGAUAGAAAAUACAGGCCUCAGAGUUAUCCCACCAAAGGGGUGAGGGAGCUGGGAUAUUUAUGCCCCAGUUACCAAGAAUCCUUGCUUGACAGCUGCUUCCAGGAGUGUUAAUUCCACCCGGCUGCUCUUCUGGAAAAAAAGCCUUGAGAUUUACAGGCACAGAUAGGUUGGCCAGCACACCGUGGCUCAGACAGUUUGGAGGGAUGUAGAUAUAAAUCGCAGACCAUGUCUGCUACUCCAAGCUUUAAGGGAGCCCAGCCUCGGCCGAUGCCUUCCUCCCCUUACCAGCCAAGCACAAGAAGUAGAGGUGAUCUUGAACUCCAGCACAGCCCGGGGGAUCCAGCCUCUGUUCCGGGUGAGCUUUUCGCGGUGGAGACGGCGGCCGCCGGGACGGUGUCUGCCACACAGUAGGUGGUCAAAACCCGACAGCGGGAAGGAAAUGCAAUGGAACCGCCGCGGGCUUGAGUUUUCUCUUUUGAACAACGAGAAUGACAGCUCCAACGGGACACUUGGAGGUCAGGACGAACGAAAGGAACCUAAGAAGCUUGGAUGGGAAAGCCUCCUAGAAAUAGUAAGUAUUCGUUCUCCCGUUUGGACUUUGGCAAGCCAGGGUGUUUUAGGAAGGGUCUGGCACUCUGCGUUCCUAAAAUUGGUUUCCUAGAUGG
This 1082-nucleotide long non-coding RNA is filed under the name Felis catus (domestic cat). Its description in RNAcentral is "lncRNA (ENSFCAG00000048425.1)". Lineage: Eukaryota; Metazoa; Chordata; Mammalia; Carnivora; Felidae. The record is from RNAcentral.